UACUGCACAGCAGACAAGGCCCACGACAAAGUGUUUGCCUACAUUGCCCAGAGCCAGCUGAGCGAGAGCCUGGAGUGCCACGCCUUCCUGUGCACCAAGAGGAAGAUGGCCCAGGCUGUCACCCUCACCGUGGCCCAGGCCUUCAGGAUCGCCUUUGAGUUCUGGCAGGCAGCCAAGGAAGAGAAGGAGAAGAGGGAAAGGUCCAUCCUGG
This is a long non-coding RNA of Passer montanus (Eurasian tree sparrow), 211 nucleotides long. RefSeq lists it as uncharacterized. The transcript has 3 exons. NCBI's taxonomy places the organism in Eukaryota, Metazoa, Chordata, Aves, Passeriformes, Passeridae. The record is from RefSeq and is a predicted model, not a curated record.